UUGCACCACUGCACUCCAGCCUGGGCGAUACAGUGAGACCCAGUCUCAAAAAAAAAAAAAAAAGAGUCUUUUUUGAUGGUGGACAUCUUCCAAUGAGCAUUCACAUGGGACAGAUUUUUUUUUAGUUCUACCGUUGUUCUGAAAGCUCUAUGUAUGUUCCUCUUCCCUAAAAAUCUUUGUCACCAAGCCUCCAGAUUUAUUCCUUCUAAAAUGUUGAAAUUCCAGCUAAUUCCUUAGUUGUUACCCAGGAAACAAUGCAGAUCCUGGUCCGAGGAUGCAGCUCCUUCCAGGCAGCCUGGACUGUGAGGUGUGCUCCAUUGCUCUUCAGGAACCGUCCUUGAGAGGCGUUCCACAGCAGGCCAGACCUGGGGGGAGCAGGUGGGCCAGGCGGAAAGCACAGCACAAUUUGAGAGAUGCUGAGUACUCAUGACUCUGUGUAAGCACCUGAAUUCAGCCCUCAUGGUCUUUUCUGAGCUGUCAGUCAUUUAUCUCUAUUUAGUCAUUUUGCGAAUUGGAGUUAGCUUCCUUCCCUCUACACUCAAAGACGGCAUGUCAACAUUUUAGGCCUCUGGGUGGAAUGAACUCCCAGUUUCCUGGGAGGGAGCUGAUUGGCAUCUAUUCGCCUCUUCCUAGUUUUGUGGGGUUUCCCAGCAUGUGGAGUCAUAGAGAAAGACUGGUCCCACCUUCUAUGUAAUGCCCAAGAGAAUAGAUGACUCUCUGUCCACCCCCACCCUGGCAUCCAGGGCUUCUGGACAAGACCUAGGCUGGCUAAUUGGCUGCUUCCACAUGGGAUCCUGAAUCUGGAGCAAGUGAGGCAAAGCCCAGGGUGCUUAGAAUCCAUUCUCAGUGAGAGCAGCAGGACUGCCCGGGAGGGGAAUAGAGACGGGGACGACCGAGUCCUGCACCAGCAGAGAUGACGUCCGCAGGUGGCGGGGCAGCGCUGUGGCCGUGUCACUCCUCACAAAGCAGGGCUCUUGUGCUCGCAGCCUUCGAUACCGUCUCACUGUCUUGGCUUCUAUUUAUCUUCCAAGCCAAUUUCCAGCCUCCUACACACGUGGGGUUCUUCUGGUAUCAUUCCAGUGAAUUUCAUGUUGUUUUCUGCCCUAAGAAAACAGAGUUGGUACCUCUGCUCGACCAAGAAGCCUGAUUGAUACAGACUGAGAGCUGCAGGCUGUGUUUAUUUGCUUCAUUAACAAGAACAACUUAGGAAUGGCAACUUCCAUUGAUGAGCUUCCUACUUUGUUCUGCGGUUGGAAAACAAACAGUUGUUUCCCUGUUGACGACUGGCCACACUGGAGAGGUGAACAGUUCACUCUCAAGGCCAUACUGACUUGAACACUGGCUGUCUAGAAACAGAGAGGCAGGCAGCGGCAGACAGGAAGAGAGAUGGAGCAGAGUCCUCCAGCGGGAGCUGCACCUCGGAAGCAUCCUUAGAUGCGGCUUGGAGUUGGGAUCCUUCAAUUCCCCUCAGGAGAGUCAGCCAAAAAUAUCAACAGCCACAAUUUAUUGGACGCCUUCAGGAGAAAUGUCAAAGGCCUUUGUCCAAAAUGGAGUUUCACUGUUGUUGCCCAGGCAGGAGUGCAGUGGCGACUGGGAGUAAGACUUCGGGCCAGUGUGUCGUCCUGGAAACCCAAGCUGGUUCCCUGCAGGAAAGGAGGCUGGACAAGUGGGAAUGAGACUGAGUUGGAGUGGAGUUGGCCUCCACUCUGUUUACUAAGAGCUGUGUGUCCCUAGGUAAGUCACUUUCCCUCUCUGGGCCUCAGGUUUUUUACCUGAUAGAUGGGCUUAGAGUCUCUUCUGCUGAUCCCCCAGGGUUGCAGGCAGCCAGUGAGGUUCUGAGUACUGUAGAGGGGAUGCUCUCAGCAGUAGUGGCGGUGGUAGGGAGUUGGGAUUGCAAACCCAGAGGCCAGCAGAGGCCAGGCAGGAACUGGAUUGAACUGGAAACUCAAGCUGUCCACUUGGGUCCAGUCAGGAUGGAUACUGAUAGAAGUGGGGGUCUCAUGUUGCCCACCUCAUGUUUAAGAAGAUUCUAGAAUUAUAGAUUAUUUGAUGUGAAAUUUCCUUAAAUGUAAAUGUUGGUAAAUAAAGUAACUAUUUAAACGAUAUACAUGCAAACACACAUUUGCACACACACGCCUUACACACAAUGGCUGGUCAGAUUUAGUGCAUAGCCAGCCAGCUGGUUUUCUGCUUUGGAAUUAUAGGCUGCUAAUUUUUUUAUUUUUUCUAGACAUGGUCUUGCUUUGUCACCCAGGCUGGAGUGCAGUGGCGUGAACACAGCUCAUUGCAGCCUUGACCUCCUGAGCCCAAACAGUCCUCCCAUCCCAGCCCAGCCCAGCAAAUAACUGGGAUGACUGGCAUGUACCACCAAGACUCACUAAUUGUUGUAUGUUUGUAGAGACGGGGUUUCACCAUGUUGCCCAGGCUGGUCUCAAACUCCAGAGCUCAGGAAAAACAUUAACAUCUGCCAUUUUUCUAAAUUGAAUGUGAAAGAUGAUCCUGACAGGCUGAACAAAGAUGCUUGCUCUCUGUUGUGAUGUUUGACAAGGGAAUCUUCCUUCAUUUUCUCCUCUGAUGAGCCUCUCUACCAGAUAAGCAGCAGCAGGAACCAAACGUUUAAGAAAAAUGUAAAGACAUUAUUUUGUCCAUCACUUAACAUUUUUAUGAACAAGUUGGGAGGUAGCCUGCAUGAAUGCCUCUGUGCAAUGGAAUGAAUGGCCGGAGAUCUCACCAUCCCAGGAUGACUUUGGGGAAGGAAGACCCAAACAGCCCACUAUCACAUGCUGUCCUGCCUGCCUCAGGCCUCCUGUCCUUCUCUCCCUUGUGACCUGCAAACUAACCUUGAGGACUCAUGUCAACUGUCACUGCAUUGGAAGCCCUCUGUGAUAGUUAAUAUUGAGUGUCAACUUGAUUGGAUUGAAGGAUGCAAAGUAUUGUUCCUGGGUGUGUCUGUGAGGGUGUGGC
RNAcentral lists this long non-coding RNA (2964 nucleotides) under Homo sapiens (human). Its description in RNAcentral is "HSALNT0405957". The record is from RNAcentral. Lineage: Eukaryota; Metazoa; Chordata; Mammalia; Primates; Hominidae.